Molecule: non-coding RNA, 87 nt
Organism: Brassica napus (rape)
Lineage: Eukaryota; Viridiplantae; Streptophyta; Magnoliopsida; Brassicales; Brassicaceae
Source: Rfam
CGGAAUGAUGGAAAACAGGAGAAGCUGCCCCAGAUAAACCAGAGAAAGAAGAAGCAAACGCUCUCCCUGAACCUGAGCCGUCAGAUA